RNAcentral lists this ribosomal RNA (707 nucleotides) under nematode environmental sample AGO-2003. RNAcentral's name for it is "SSU rRNA". It matches the Rfam family "Eukaryotic small subunit ribosomal RNA", at positions 499 to 1206 of the family's 1831-position model. The record is from RNAcentral. Lineage: Eukaryota; Metazoa; Nematoda.
AGCCCNCCCAUCGGAANGGGGNANCAAUUUUAAAUCCNUUUAACGAGGAUUCUAUUGGAGGGCAAGUCUGGGCCAACCANCCGCGGUAAUUCCAGGCUCCCAAAAGCGUAUAUUAAAGUUGUUCCGGUUAAAAAGCUCGUAGUUGGGUCUNCGNCCAAGAAAACCGGUCCCCCGUUGGGUGGUCACUGCAUUUCCUGGCCUAAUUCUCCGGUUUUCCCCUUGGUGCUCUUCAUUGAGUGUCAUUGGGGCCGGAACGUUUACUUUUGAAAAAAUUAGAGUGCUCAAAGCAGGCGUCUGCCUGAAUAGUGGUGCAUGGAAUAAUGAAAUAGGAUAUUGGUUCUGUUUUAUUGGUUCGGAGCUAAUAUAAUGAUUGAAGGGGACAGACGGGGGCAUUCGUAUUGCGACGUUAGAGGUGAAAUUCUUGGAUCGUCGCAAGACGGACUACUGCGAAAGCAUUUGCCAAGAAUGUUUUCAUCAAUCAAGAACGAAAGUCUGAGGUUCGAAGGCGAUCAGAUACCGCCCUAGUUCAGACCGUAAACGAUGCCAACUAGCGAUCCGUCGGCGUUAAUUUAUGACUCGACGGGCAGCUUCCGGGAAACCAAAGUUUUUGGGUUCCGGGGGAAGUAUGGUUGCAAAGCUGAAACUUAAAGGAAUUGACGGAAGGGCACCACCAGGAGUGGAGCCUGCGGCUUAAUUUGACUAAGGGC